Molecule: ribosomal RNA, 389 nt
Filed under: uncultured soil bacterium
Lineage: Bacteria
Description: bacterial SSU rRNA
Rfam family: Bacterial small subunit ribosomal RNA
Source: RNAcentral
AGAUUGAACGCUGGCGGCAUGCCUUACACAUGCAAGUCGAACGGCAGCACGGGAGCAAUCCUGGUGGCGAGUGGCGAACGGGUGAGUAAUAUAUCGGAACGUGCCCAGUCGUGGGGGAUAACGCAGCGAAAGCUGUGCUAAUACCGCAUACGAUCUAUGGAUGAAAGCGGGGGAUCGCAAGACCUCGCGCGAUUGGAGCGGCCGAUAUCAGAUUAGCUAGUUGGUGGGUAAAAGCCUACCAAGGCGACGAUCUGUAGCUGGUCUGAGAGGACGACCAGCCACACUGGAACUGAGACACGGUCCAGACUCCUACGGGAGGCAGCAGUGGGGAAUUUUGGACAAGUGGGCGCAAGCCUGAUCCAGCAAAUGACCGCGUGCGAGGGUGAAGG